AAUAGACCUCCCUACUGGAGAGACUGAGCAACAUGGCCAUUUCAGGGGGAGACUCUGGGGAUUUAUUGAUUGGACGUGAGAAUACUAAUCAUGAAAUAGCAUAGCUUGAACAUGCUUUUGUGACUACCAUUUGCAUAAAAAGGUAACACUUCAGUAUUGGGAAGGCAAGACAUUUCAGAACAUUAACAGUAGCAGUCUCAGAUCGAGUCAUAUUCCUUACCAGUUCUUCAGGCUUCUCAUUUUCCAGGGUCUAGAGAACUGGGACAACACACAUAUAAUGCUGUCUGUAACAAGUAAGUUAUCAAAUACAUUUGCUAUACUGGACAGAUACUGAAAAUGAAACUCCUAUCUCCAGCAAACCUAGAGAGUAAUGUUUUCUCUCUCAAACUUACUGGAAAACUGCAUACACUUUGGAUUUUGAAAUAGCUUUCUGUUUGAGUCUUGUAAUCAAGAAGUUAAUUAAUUUCAAUCAAUUUUUGUAAUCAAACACUUUAAACUUUCCUUCCUCUUUACAUAUUAAUUUUGUCAGCUUGAAGUAUUCAAAACUCAAAAAUGAGGAACCCCUUAAAAUUUUGAGCAAGACUACACUGUUAUAUAGUUUAUCAUAUUUGUAUAUUUUGCCCUUUAUCUUUCUGUUGUGUUAGGGGGUUUUUUGUUUGUUGGGUUUGGGGUUUUUUUUUACUUUACUUUUUUAGAGUAGCUCAUCAAAGACAGAACGUGCAUCUUCUUAGGCACUUGCUAGUCCUCUGCUUUGUCAGUGGACCCCCACUGGCAGCCCCAACAAAAGGAUUGCAAGCUAUCUGCAGAGGACAGGCAGUUAUAUAGGCCUAAAUGGGCUUGGAGGACUUAUGCCUGUAUUUUAUCUGGCUUGGGGCAUUUCUCUCUCGUUGUACCACUCGUUGGCCACACCAGCCACCCCGGGAAUUUCAGAGGUCAAGAUGAAGAAAACAGGCACCCAGCUUGAAACCUGGACCCCAACAAAGCAUUCACUACCUUUUCAGAAGUAUCAAGACGUAAAGGCUGAGACAAAUAAUAUUUUAGGUUUGUUUGUGCUAGUGAUGUAGGCUAGACCCAAUGAAAGAUCUAAUCUAUGCUUCUAUGCACAAGUGGAUGCAAAUUGCACUGAUUCAGUGCAGAACACAGAACGCUGGAGUUUUCUGUGCUGCUGUACAUUUGGAUAUGUCAAAAGCAACCAGUAUGAAGACACUGCACUUUAAGUAACUCCUAAAGUGUAGUACAAUUUUGUUUAUUAAGGUAGAAAUCAGAAUGGCCCAGCCUGAGCUCUUCUACUUUAGAUGCAAACCCCUCUGAUUAUGGGCUGAUAGUAUGUUAUACCUUGUGCCUGCUGUUCUCAGUUCCCUGCAGAUGGGAUUCAACAAGGUACCUCAAGCACCAGUAACAUGAAGUACUCCACUAAAUAGGGUCCUGAAAGACAUCAGACCCUUAAAAGCCAGUUUGGCCUGCUGAGAGAUGAGCAACUGAUGAGAGGAUCCAAAUCGUCAGUUCAGUGAGAGAAUCUUUCUAUUGUAGGGAUGAAAAGCUCAGGGGAUCUCACUCAUGCUCAGUGGUCUUGUAAUUAAAUGUUACACACUUGAUGAGCAUUACAUUGCAAGCCUCAAGGCUAAUUUACAUGUUACCACCAAAAUGUCUUAUUUUAUUUUGCUUGUAAAAAUACUGUGCAGGCAUCAUUGCAUGUCAUUGCAAAUGGUUUGUAUCAAUGAUGCUUGGGUGACUCAAAAUUACUAAAAGCUGUACAUAAUUACUGCUAAAAAGCCCCAUGCAGAACCAAUAGUACUUCCUCUACAAUAGAUAUUUUAUGACUAAGAAGGCUUUCCUGAUGUGACAAUGUUAGGAUCACAAACAAGCAGCCUGCCAGCAAAUAAAGAAUAGCAUUUUGGGGAAACAAAAUAGUUUGAUUCAAUUAUAGUACUACAUGUAUCAUUAAAGUGUAUGUUGCUUUUCUGAGAGUUGUCCAUUAAUUCAAAACAGGAAGGCAGGGUGGGAGGAAAGAGAGAAAAAUGAAAAUAGGUAGGAGCUUCUUGUAAGAAUGGUGAUAGGUAUGAUGUCAAUAUAAGAUAUUUACUGGCAUAUUUUAAUGCUUUAUGUUGUAAAAGUUGCUGUUACUGAUUUGGGCCACAUGACUCGUGUCACUCUUUACACAAGAUAAGGGAAAGGAGAUGAAGCUUCUCAAGACUCUGGGAUCCAUUUAGUACAUACUCCUGUAUCAGUUUCUUGGUCGGGGGAGGUCAUUCCACAAGAAGCAUUUCAAUGCACACAUAUCAGAUGGACUGAACGGCCGUUUCUUACAAUUCUCUAUUUCUUUUAUACUUGACUGACUUUAAAGCAAUGCUAAAGCACUGCAAUCAUUUAUUGGAAUAUAUUAAUAAUAAUAAAUUACAGUUUCAUUCACUGAAUUCCAGCUCUUAGAAGAAUAAACAACCUUGUGCAGAUGCAGAAGAAAGGCAGAGAAAUAUUAGAUGACUUACAGUCUGCAGCAGGUGAGUGAAAGAAUUAGAUACAGAACCUCUGGCCUCUGGCCUUUCUUUCAAAUAAUCUUUCCUGUGUUUGUGCCACAGUAAAAUGAUUUUGCAUAUGUCCUGUCUCAGAAAUAUGAAAAAUAUAUGCAAUAUGCAAAGCAGCCAAUUGGGCUGCCUUUUGGAAUAUAUCAUCAUUUAUGAAGGGUGCAUCUUGAAGCCUAAACAGAUUGUGUGCAAUUAAUUGCAAACUGUCAAAGAGACUACAGCACUUUACUGCCAAUUUGUAAAUAAAACCUACUAUGCAAAAGGACGGAGGCAAGUGAGGUGAAUUUCUCUGGAUAAAGGAAAGGCAAUGCACAAAUGCAGUGCAACACAAUUUUUACACUCCAGCCUUUAAGAAUUUUGCUGACCCUGUAAGAAAAUGGUGUGGUGCAGAGUCAUUGAAUGCAGGUAAGCUUCUCCAUAGGUAAAUAUUUUACAUAACCUAAAUGAAGAACUCCCAGCUUACUUGAUAGAAGAAUAAAGAAGUCACCAUGUGCAAAAAGAAAAUUGUUCUUUUUAGUAAAAUCUUGGAAAAUACAUGAGCAUAUUUGUACCCUAAAGAUGUGCUGAACAAUGGUGAUGAUGAUGUGCAAACAAAGCAGAUUCCCUUUAUGUCCCGAUUAUGACCCUCAAAUGAUCUUUGUUAUAAAUAUACUCAUCCUGGUGACUGGCCAAUACCUGACUGGACUCCUUAUCCGGUGCUGUCUAGCUCCCUUUGUAUCACUGCUGUUACCAUCCUACAGCUCGUUGUUCCCCUCAUAAUAUUCAAUAAAUACAAUAUGUUUGGUGCCACUGCUGAUCUGCUGAGCCAGUCAGUGGCCAGCCCAGUAACUCAGUCUUGGUCUCAGCUUCAGAAGAAAAAUGAUGAUGGCUGUCUUUCUAAGUUUGAAACAACCCCCCGGUGAACAGCAUCACAAAUGUGAUACAGACCCUCAGUAAUUACUGAAACAGCAGUUUGUCACAAGCUGCCUGCAGCACUGAUGGACAAUCUGCUUGUGGAUAUAGUUAGAGGAAGGAAUGUGUAAGAAAAUAUGAUAUUUGUGACAGGCUUAACUUGGAUUUUUUGUUUCAGGGGAUGAAGCGUACAUGUGGAGGCAGUGUUGAUGAAGAACUAGGUACCCAUUUGCAUCAACAAUUCUUUCCACCUCUCUGGUAUUUAAUAUAUAUGCAAAAUUUACUCCAGUGUAAAUAAGAAUUUGGCUCAAGUAGCAACCACAUCUACAUGAAGUGCAUUUAGUAUCUCCCCUAAGUUCACAUAUAUCACCAGUUUCCAAAACAAGUAGAUUUAGCCCUUGAGGAAGAGCAGAUCUGCCUACAUAGCCCAGUCACCCUUCACACUGGUACCAUGGAGGGGGGUCCUUGUGUUGCUCAGCAAACAAAAAAAUCCCUUCUCUACUCCCCUGAGCCUUGUAACAGCCCAGAGCUUCCUGCAGCAUAAAGGUACUUCCCUGUGCUCUGUGCAUCUGAAAAGAAAUGGAAAUCUAAAAGUCCUCUUCAUGUGAAACAGUUCUCUUUAUUCUUUUUCUGCCCUAAUCUUGUAGUGCAAUUGCAGCUCCAGAAAUGACAAAACAUCUGAGUCCACCGAGGUGAGGUAAAUUCAAGGUUGAGAGAUGAUGAAAGAAAAAAUGGACUCUUAGUCCGAUAGGCUUUGGAUGGAGCUUUACAGGGAAUCAGGACACCAAAGGAUGCUGUUGUAGGGGGCAGCUGCCUAUGUCGGGGAAACACAGGUCCAGCUGUCUGGAAAAUCAGAAAUCUAGAAUUGAGAGGAGGGAAUGCACUGCUUAGCCCCAGCCAAAUUAACAAUGACUUUUUGUUUCACAGCUUAAUAUUUAAGCAAUGUUGUUCCAAUUAGUCAAUUGAAGACAUUUUGUCUUCUAUGAGAGGUAUCCUCUCCUCCUCGACUUCCAGGAUUUUUUUUAAAACUAGAUUGCACUUGGCUCUAGGUACAGAAGAUUUCCUUCAGAAAUCUUUGCUGAGUCGAUGGCACAAACAGCUAUGUUCCUCCAGACUUUAUUAACUCAAACUGUCAAAAUCUACGUGUCCACCUCCCCUUGUUUGUUAUUUUGUUUGUUGCAGUGCUGGAGAUUGCUCGUGUUUCGCCAGAAAAGGCUCUCCAGUCUGCAGCUCUCGGAUUUUCCCCUCUCGUGUCACUCAAGCAAACUGCCCUGAGCUUCCCUGCCACCGAGGUCGGAGCAGAGCCACCGCAGCCCUCUGGCCCCCGCCGGGAGCCCGGCACACCAGCACCCGCUCGGAGUCCCGGAGCUGUGGGGGCACACACAGACACACACACACACACACACACACACACACACGAGCUGGGCUCCCCAGCGCUGCCGAGAGCCAAAUGGGAUUUUGCCUGAAUGAGUACUGGGGGUGGGCUCUCAUUCAGAGCCACAAACAACUCCUUAAAAUACCACGAGUGCAUGGAAGAUGGAAAUUUCCUAUAUUAUGAUUUCAGAAAGCAGCAGAUGAACACUGGACAUAAUGACAAGUCCCCCCCGCUCUGAACAGCUCACUCAAACCCACUGAGCCUUCUGAACAAUCCAGCUUCAGCCCUUGACUGUGUUCAUUACAUUAUUUUGAUGCACUGUGAUGAAUGCAAGAGAUCACUAUACAUUAAAAGCAGAGUUCAGUAACCAGUAUGGAACAGUGUCCAUAUGCUGGCUGACAGCUUUACCCUACAGUUACUGGGCUAGUAGUUUUCAGCCAAAAGUCAGGAGAAUUUGGUAGUCAAGGUUUUGCCCUCCCAUUCCCCUCUCUCUGCCACUGAAGUAAUAUGAAGUAAUAAUUUUCAACUGAAUAUUUUUAAGUGUUAUCUGUAUCCGUAGUUGCCAGUAAGAGCUCAACCCCGUUCCUCUUACCACCACCUCUGCAGAUGCUCCUGGAAAGUCAGCAGGAGACCUCCACCACCCCUGGCUAUUGCCAGCAGGACUCUGAAGUGUUCCAGCUCUGGUGAGGUACCAGUGUGUGAUGAGGAGCACUGAUGCUUUCCUGGGAUACCACAAUAGAGAAAUAACUGCAGCGAGAAUUGUCCCAGUAGAAGUUCAAAGAUCUUAAGUCUGUGACAAGAAAAACAAAUCAAGCUUCUGACCUUGGCAUCAUCGCUCACUUAGGAAUUUUUUGUACCUGAAAGAAAAUCUGCUGAUAUCCCAAGCAAGUAAUAAAUCACCUCACGUCAUCAGUAAAUACAGCUGUAAAACAGACAUCUCAAGGCCCGCCUGUUCUCGUUCCUUCUGGUAACUCUGUCCAUCAAAGCCCUCAAAGUGGUCAAGGUGGUUAGGGGUGGGAGGCCCACCCAGUUUCCUGCCAGGGGGGUCACCACUAAACAUCAAGCAACUUCCAGCUCAGGAGGGAAGACUCUCCUGGAUUCAAAUACACAAGCUAAAAAUA
Neopelma chrysocephalum (saffron-crested tyrant-manakin) is the source of this 5909-nucleotide long non-coding RNA. RefSeq lists it as uncharacterized. NCBI's taxonomy places the organism in Eukaryota, Metazoa, Chordata, Aves, Passeriformes, Pipridae. The transcript has 4 exons. The record is from RefSeq and is a predicted model, not a curated record.